Long non-coding RNA from Carassius auratus (goldfish), 1944 nucleotides. RefSeq lists it as uncharacterized. The record is from RefSeq and is a predicted model, not a curated record. The transcript has 3 exons. Lineage: Eukaryota; Metazoa; Chordata; Actinopteri; Cypriniformes; Cyprinidae.
UUGUGAGCGUGCAACAUCCACUGUAGCGGUUAACAGAUUGUUGUGCUAUAUUUGAAUGCCAACCUUUUUUUAAAUCAGUCAUCUGCGGUAUUUUGACAGUCACCCGGGACUCACAAGCAAGUAAGUUAGACAAGAAUGAUCAACUGCCUCCAGAAAAAAGUCCCUUUACACGAGACCUUAAAUAAGCAUGCAGUUUUGGGUGACUGCUCGACAAAUGGACCAUCCCUAUUAUAAUUAGAGAACUCACUAUGAGCUCAAAGGUCCCACCAGGAAUAAUUAAUUUACUGAAGAUAACUGAAGUUGAAAAAAAUCGGAAGUGGAAGAAUCCGGGAAGAGUAAAGAGGUUGUUGCAGAGUGGUAUGUGGCGUCGCUCCAAAGAGGGGAACAGAGAAGACGGCAGAUGCUAGGAGCUCCACUGAGCUAAUGUACUCAACUCGCUCACUGAGGAGUCUGCAAUGAGGUAGUCAAGACAUGGUUGUCACUUCAAGCUGCUUCGAUCCGCUGUCAACGGGUCAGAAAUCUAAAGCUGCUGAUUUCAUACCCUGGGAAAAGCUCUGCACAGCAAGACGAGAGGAAUAAAACUAUCAGGGAGUUAUCAGAAGCAUCUUAAUUAAAGUCUUUCAGUGGCAGAAAGUGAUAACAGCCGGGUUAACACGAUCUUGAAAUGCAUAGGCACAGAUUAAUCAGACUUACCAGUUGUGUAUGUCUGAUGCGUCAUUUUAACAAUGAUCCCUAGAAGUCAUUAAAAGUAAAUCUCGCCAUCUGAGUCUGGCAGAAAACUUUCAUAUUUCUGUACUUUGGCUCUGAACAUGCGUCUCACAAUUAUCGCAUCUUCAAAAAUCCACAUUUGACCAGUAUAUGGUAUCACAGCUGGUUUAUUUGCGAACGUACAUUUGACGUUCAGAGUCGAGCAGCUGCACAAUUAUCCCUGUUUUAAUCAUCUGCACCCGAAAUAUAUUAUCUCCUCUGUGCAAAGAAGCAUUGACUAAAACAUUAGUCAUUACACUGAAACUGAAGCAUGUCCAGAAUCAUAAUGUUCAGUGUCUUAUAAAACAUCUGCCAAUUAUGUCAUCAAAAGCCAUUAGCAAUAUGCACCUCUUUCAUUUUAGUCUAUGAGGCUUUGUACUUCCUUUGUGGCUCGUGAGAUUAAUAGGCUUUUCUAAUAUGCCUUGUGCUAUUGAUUACAUCAAAAUUGGCCAUUCGGGAUUUGAUAGAAAUGCCUUCAGAGGAUUGAGCUUUUUGUAGUUGACAGGAACUUGACAGACUUGGAGGACAAAGUCAGUGUGGUGUCCUGUGUAGUCACCCUCAAUCACAUCUUCAGAUCAGGUUAUUAUUUAUGACGUAGGAACAUAUGGCAAUCACAAACCAUGAGUGCUGAGCCGAUAAGUGCUUUGAAACCGAUCCAAGAUUAGUCUGUUAUUCCAGCCUCCAGGAAGAGCCUGUUAACCACAAAUGCUGCUUUACCUUCGCCUCGAUUUACUUCGCAGCAGUUUACUGUGUAGCAUGGGUAAAUAUUUGAUCUGAUGGCUCUGAUAACCUUGGCAGCAUGAAAAAGCUUUUUUCCUCUCGCCAACUAAAUGAUAAGACUGUUAAAAUAAAUAUGCACCCUGUAGGCAUUUAAAAAAAAAAAUGAGAAAAGGUCAGAUUUCCUCAGGAGGGUGAGGAAUGCCAACCAAUGUUCUGAUCAAAGGUAUCGACCAAUGAAAUAACCAAAUGUCUAUUAAAGUUUACUUUUAAAAUGUAUUUCACUACAGAUGACAAAAUACAAGCUUUAAAAGGUAAUCAGUAAUGUAUUUCAUUAGAUUAAUCAGGUAUAGUUAACUUAAUCUAAAUACUUUAGAAUACUUUGGAAUACUUAAGCUAUGAAACACACAAAAGAACAUAUUAACUGGAUGUCUGGUUUUUUUAUGCUUUCCAACUCUAAAUAAAAGUGAUAAGAUUUGU